Molecule: small nucleolar RNA, 86 nt
Organism: Homo sapiens (human)
Lineage: Eukaryota; Metazoa; Chordata; Mammalia; Primates; Hominidae
Source: RefSeq, marked validated
CUUCAUAUCCAGUGAUUAAACCUUUUCACUGCUGUUCACAUAAUGAACCGUUGUGAUUAUUGAAUACUUAAAUGAGGAUAUGUAAG